RNAcentral lists this ribosomal RNA (484 nucleotides) under uncultured bacterium. RNAcentral's name for it is "partial 16S ribosomal RNA". It matches the Rfam family "Bacterial small subunit ribosomal RNA", at positions 30 to 507 of the family's 1533-position model. The record is from RNAcentral.
AUUGAACGCUGGCGGCAGGCCUAACACAUGCAAGUCGAGCGGAUGAAGGGAGCUUGCUCCUGGAUUCAGCGGCGGACGGGUGAGUAAUGCCUAGGAAUCUGCCUGGUAGUGGGGGAUAACGUCCGGAAACGGGCGCUAAUACCGCAUACGUCCUGAGGGAGAAAGUGGGGGAUCUUCGGACCUCACGCUAUCAGAUGAGCCUAGGUCGGAUUAGCUAGUUGGUGGGGUAAAGGCCUACCAAGGCGACGAUCCGUAACUGGUCUGAGAGGAUGAUCAGUCACCCUGGAACUGAGACCCGGUCCAGACUCCUACGGGAGGCAGCAGUGGGGAAUAUUGGACAAGGGGCGAAAGCCUGAUCCAGCCAUGCCGCGUGUGUGAAGAAGGUCUUCGGAUUGUAAAGCACUUUAAGUUGGGAGGAAGGGCAGUAAGUUAAUACCUUGCUGUUUUGACGUUACCAACAGAAUAAGCACCGGCUAACUUCGUG